Molecule: long non-coding RNA, 437 nt
Organism: Tachyglossus aculeatus (Australian echidna)
Lineage: Eukaryota; Metazoa; Chordata; Mammalia; Monotremata; Tachyglossidae
Exons: 3
Source: RefSeq, a predicted model, not a curated record
UCCAUGCCAAGAAUUUCCAUAUCCACAGCAAAGUUAGCGUCUGGAAGAACGAGGGGGCACGGCGGCUCUCCAGCUGGAGCUCCAGUCUUGCAGGCCAACACCCAGGGACUACAUACGCUGGUUCCCUGCACCCAUCAGCCACCAAUGAUGGUUAGCCCACACUCUGAGUCUCAGCAAGAACCAGUCCAGCCAUCUUCACCUCUCUGAUGCCCCACAUCGCCAGGAGGCCUGAGAUCCCAAGGAGAAACGACCGCUGGGAAGCCCGAUGGGGGAGGAAACCCGAGCCAAGCCACACGUGGGAGACAGGAGGAAGAUGAGGAGGCACAGAAAGUGAGAAGAAGGAGCCCACCUCACCCCCCCGCGCCGCUCGUGAGCCCCUGUCCAGCUCUGACCAUGGCCACCAGGACUGACGUGCCUUGAGCCCAGCCUCCGGCCAC